This 328-nucleotide unclassified non-coding RNA is filed under the name Hevea brasiliensis (rubber tree). Lineage: Eukaryota; Viridiplantae; Streptophyta; Magnoliopsida; Malpighiales; Euphorbiaceae. The record is from RNAcentral.
GAGUAUCUAGCCGCUGAGGUUUGUUUCAGAUCUGAUCUGUUUUGUUUCUAUGGAGUUUUUUGAUCGAUUUGCUUUGUUUCUAUGUCUUGUUUCUGGGAGAACGUGGGAAAGUGAGGGAAAAUGAAUCGUGUUUUUAACGUUUGUGCAAAUUUCGGCUUUUAAUGACAUGUUUGUUUCCCUGUUUCGUUUGGAUCAUUAGCCUUAUUUUUUUUGGUAUUUCUAGAAUGAGUUGUUAUUUUUUUUCUUCCAUUUUCUAGGCUACCAAACAAGGGAUUUGAUUGAUUUUGUGUUUAUUUGUGGAUAUAGGUGUUGGAGUUGGCUGGGAAUG